This 871-nucleotide ribosomal RNA is filed under the name uncultured bacterium. Its description in RNAcentral is "bacterial SSU rRNA". It matches the Rfam family "Bacterial small subunit ribosomal RNA", at positions 1 to 867 of the family's 1533-position model. The record is from RNAcentral.
UCGAUUAGAGUUUGAUUAUGGCUCAGAUUGAACGCUGGCGGCAGGCUUAACACAUGCAAGUCGAGCGGGGAAGGGUAGCUUGCUACCUGACCUAGCGGCGGACGGGUGAGUAAUGCUUAGGAAUCUGCCUAUUAGUGGGGGACAACAUUCCGAAAGGAAUGCUAAUACCGCAUACGCCCUACGGGGGAAAGCAGGGGAUCUUCGGACCUUGCGCUAAUAGAUGAGCCUAAGUCAGAUUAGCUAGUUGGUGGGGUAAAGGCCUACCAAGGCGACGAUCUGUAGCGGGUCUGAGAGGAUGAUCCGCCACACUGGGACUGAGACACGGCCCAGACUCCUACGGGAGGCAGCAGUGGGGGAUAUUGGACAAUGGGCGAAAGCCUGAUCCAGCCAUGCCGCGUGUGUGAAGAAGGCCUUUUGGUUGUAAAGCACUUUAAGCGAGGAGGAGGCUACCGAGAUUAAUACUCUUGGAUAGUGGACGUUACUCGCAGAAUAAGCACCGGCUAACUCUGUGCCAGCAGCCGCGGUAAUACAGAGGGUGCGAGCGUUAAUCGGAUUUACUGGGCGUAAAGCGUGCGUAGGCGGCUUUUUAAGUCGGAUGUGAAAUCCCUGAGCUUAACUUAGGAAUUGCAUUCGAUACUGGGAAGCUAGAGUAUGGGAGAGGAUGGUAGAAUUCCAGGUGUAGCGGUGAAAUGCGUAGAGAUCUGGAGGAAUACCGAUGGCGAAGGCAGCCAUCUGGCCCUAUACUGACGCUGAAGUACGAAAGCAUGGGGAGCAAACAGGAUUAGAUACCCUGGUAGUCCAUGCCGUAAACGAUGUCUACUAGCCCGUGGGGGCUUUGAGGCUUUAGUGGGCGCACUAACGCGAUAAGCAG